CCUACGGGUGGCAGCAGUGAGGAAUAUUGGUCAAUGGACGCUAGCCUGAACCAGCCAUGUAGCGUGCAGGAUGACUGCCCUAUGGGUUGUAAACUGCUUUUAUAUGAGGAUAAAGUGCAGUAUGUAUACUGCUUUGCAAGUACCUUAUGAAUAAGGAUCGGCUAACUCCGUGCCAGCAGCCGCGGUAAUACGGAGGAUUCGAGCGUUAUCCGGAUUUAUUGGGUUUAAAGGGAGCGUAGGCGGGUUGUUAAGUUAGUUGUGAAAUUUUGCGGCUCAACCGUGAAAUUGCAGUUGAUACUGGCAGCCUUGAGUACAGUAGAGGUAGGCGGAAUGUGUGGUGUAGCGGUGAAAUGCUUAGAUAUCACGCAGAACUCCGAUUGCGAAGGCAGCCUGCUAGACUGUAACUGACGCUGAUGCUCGAAAGUGUGGGUAGCAAACAGGAUUAGAUACCCCGGUAGUC
Molecule: ribosomal RNA, 460 nt
Filed under: uncultured bacterium
Lineage: Bacteria
Description: partial 16S ribosomal RNA
Rfam family: Bacterial small subunit ribosomal RNA
Source: RNAcentral